Molecule: ribosomal RNA, 465 nt
Filed under: uncultured bacterium
Lineage: Bacteria
Description: partial 16S ribosomal RNA
Rfam family: Bacterial small subunit ribosomal RNA
Source: RNAcentral
GACGAACGCUGGCGGCGUGCUUAACACAUGCAAGUCGAACGGAAAGGCCCUGCUUUUGUGGGGUGCUCGAGUGGCGAACGGGUGAGUAACACGUGAGUAACCUGCCCUUGACUUUGGGAUAACUUCAGGAAACUGGGGCUAAUACCGGAUAGGAGCUCCUGCUGCAUGGUGGGGGUUGGAAAGUUUCGGCGGUUGGGGAUGGACUCGCGGCUUAUCAGCUUGUUGGUGGGGUAGUGGCUUACCAAGGCUUUGACGGGUAGCCGGCCUGAGAGGGUGACCGGCCACAUUGGGACUGAGAUCCGGCCCAGACUCCUACGGGAGGCAGCAGUGGGGAAUAUUGCACAAUGGGCGGAAGCCUGAUGCAGCAACGCCGCGUGCGGGAUGACGGCCUUCGGGUUGUAAACCGCUUUCGCCUGUGACGAAGCGUGAGUGACGGUAAUGGGUAAAGAAGCCCCGGCUAACUAC